UGAGCAAUCUGCCCUUCACAUCGGAACAACCAUUGGAAACGAUGGCUAAUACCGAAUAUGACUUCGGAUCGCAUGAUCUGAAGUGGAAAGCUCCGGCGGUGAAGGAUGAGCUCGCGGCCUAUCAGCUUGUUGGUGAGGUAAUAGCUCACCAAGGCGAUGACGGGUAGCCGGCCUGAGAGGGUGACCGGCCACACUGGGACUGAGACACGGCAGA
RNAcentral lists this ribosomal RNA (214 nucleotides) under uncultured bacterium. RNAcentral describes it as "partial 16S ribosomal RNA". It matches the Rfam family "Bacterial small subunit ribosomal RNA", at positions 118 to 335 of the family's 1533-position model. The record is from RNAcentral.